UACAUUGUAAGUUACAGUUCGCAUUUAACAAAAAAAAUAUGGCAAUGCAUCUUGAGUUCGGGGAAUAACAAACCAUAGAUUCGAUAGUGAAUGGCACUCCAUUUUUAAUUUACCUGGUUAAGAUUACGAGACCCUAACACUUGGUCCUACUUGGUCUUUGUUCUGUGCGUAGACUGACGCUGUACGCCUUCUAUGUACGCUCAUAGAUGAAAACGUCGGUCUUACAUCUUCUACCUUCUUUAUUAAGAAAAAAUGACUUAUUACGUAGUCAUAAAUAUUUUGACAUAAAUAUGGUGGUGUCAAAAUUUUCAGUGGAUUUUUUGUACGAUGUUUGAAGUGAUUUUAUCAUUUUGUAACUGCGAUCCACCAGAAGAAAAACCGCUACAAAAUGACGUCCACUUAUUUCCGAGUGGUAACCACAUAUGGGGCAUGCUUGGGUUUAUAUUUGCCACUGUUAUAAGUUGGUGUAUCUACAAACAGUUUCAUAAUAUUGGAAGAGAAAUACCUCGAUGUCUGGCUCCUCCACAACCGGAAUACAACAAAUCAUCACAUGUCAGCCGCAGACACAGAGUUUCAUAACAUGAUUUAGGACAAAUUAAAAUCCUUUUAAUUUUUAA
Molecule: long non-coding RNA, 617 nt
Organism: Pectinophora gossypiella (pink bollworm)
Lineage: Eukaryota; Metazoa; Arthropoda; Insecta; Lepidoptera; Gelechiidae
Exons: 2
Source: RefSeq, a predicted model, not a curated record